This 2754-nucleotide long non-coding RNA is filed under the name Homo sapiens (human). RNAcentral's name for it is "HSALNT0057721". The record is from RNAcentral. Lineage: Eukaryota; Metazoa; Chordata; Mammalia; Primates; Hominidae.
AUUAACCAGCUGACCUUAAGAUAGGGAAACUACUCAUCUAAUCACACGGGCCCUUUAAAAGCGGAGUGUUUUCUUUGGCUGGAGGCAGAAGAGGAAAUCUUAGAGAUUCCAAGCCUGAGAAGGACUCAACCCACAAUUACUGGCUUUGAGGAUGGAGCAAGGGGGCAAUGAGCCAAGGAAUACAGAUACCUUGACUAUGAAUAAUAGUUUCAAUAAGGAAGACAGAAUGAGUUCUGACACGAUGGUUGGGAGCUGUGACAGGCAGACGAAAAAUGGAGCCAAAUGGCAUGGAGGUGUCAUGAUGUUGGAACAGUAACAAUAACUCAACCAACCAGGGCUUGUCUGAAUACAAUCCUACAGCAGCAGGAGCUGUGGAGAUAUAGAAGGCAAGGAAGACCAGGUUGUGAGGGAAGACGAAUUUACUCCCAGGAAUGUUGGGAUUGAGAGUAAUAUUCUCCAAUAAUGGUGGAAGACAGAACAAUAAAAGCCCACCAGCUCCUUCUGCAUGGUGGGAUAAGAGAAAAGCCAAGGGCAGAAGUGAGAAAAAUAACCAUCACCAAACUGAAAAGAAAACCUUUAUAAAAAAACUGGAUUGAUAAAUGACCUUUAGUAGUGGAAAGAUACCAUUCCAAUGAAGCAUGAAUUGAAAGGAUUUCUUCUGAAAGCUAAUUUACAUUUUUCUUUUUUUUUUUUUCAUUUUCAGUGUGUUUUAGCAGGUGUAUUGUUCUACAUGGUUAGUUUCUUUACCUCUUUGAGAAAAAUGGGUCAGCUUGACACAUCUGGAUGAAAGAAUCCGUUAGGUGAUUAUGAUUGAAGACAGAUUAAGCCUUGUUAUGAGGGGAAUAUUUGGGGGCUUACCCUGAGGUGAUAUUUGAUGAUUUAGCUGUGGGAGAAUUUCCCUCCCAAGAUCAGCGUGACUGACACUGAAAUUGCUACAGGGGAACCGGACCUUUCCAAGAGGUGACAAGGACAUUUACCUGGUACAACACAAUGGUUCUGGACUGGAAGUCUAGUCCCAUUGAUGAAGUUCCCAAAAGAUGUCCAGGUCCUAAUCCCUGGAAUCUGUGAAUAUGUCAUCUUACACAUCAAAAGAACUUUGAAAAUGUGAUUGAGGUUAAGGACCUUGGAAUGAGGAGAUUACCUUGGAUUAUCUGGUUGGGUCCAAGCUAAUCACAUGAGUCCUUAAAGGAGAAGAACCUUUUUUAGCUGGGUCAGAGAGAGAUGUGAUGAUGAAAACAGGCUCAGGGAGAUGCACUGUAAGAAGGGCUUGACCAGUUGUUUUUGACUUUGAAGAUGGAGGGAAGGGCCAGGAGCCAAGGAAGGUGGGUGGCUUUUGGAAGGUGGAAAAAGCAAGGGAACAUUCUCUCCAGAGCCUCCAGAAAGGAGCUCAGCCCUGUUGACAUCUUUGUUUUUAUUUUUUAUUUUUAGUAGCAUUGAGGUCUCACUAUGUUGCACAGGCUGGUCUUGAACUCUUGAGCUCAAGCACUCCUCCCGCCUUGGCUUCCCAAAGUGCUGGGAUUAUAGGCAUGUGCCACCACAUCUGGCUUCCUACUGACAUCUUAACUUUAGUGCAGUGAGACUCAUAUUUGAAUUUCUGACCUUAUAUUAUAGAACCAUAAGACAUUAUAGAAUUAUAUAGAAUUAUAGAACCAUAAGACAAUAACUUUGUGUUGUUUUAAGAUACUAAAUUUUUGGUAAUUUGUUAUGGCAGCACAAUAAAACCAAUAUAGCAUUAUAUUAUGCCAAUAUCAUCUCUUUGUUGACUAUUGCUAUUAUAGUUUGUUUUAUGGGUCUUGUGUAAACAAUCAAGCUAUAAUAUUGGGUUAACUCCCUAAGGAAAACUUGGAAUAUAGAACAUUAUUUUAAAGACUGAAUUAGGUAAAUACACCUGCCAGUGAAUACAUUAACAAAUUAAUUAAUAUAUUCACUCUUUUCACUCACAAAUACUUUUUGAGCCCCUAUUACUAGCCAAACAUUUUGUUAGAUUCUGAGAAGGGUCUGCUAGACAACAUUGUGACUAUAGUUAAUAACAAUAUAUUGUACUCUUGAAAAUUACUAAGAGAGUAGAUUUUAAGUGUUCUCACCACAAAAAAUAAGUAUGUGAGGUAAUGCAGAUGUUAGUUAGCUUGAUUUAGCCAUUCCCCAGUGUAUACAUAUUUCAAACCUUCAUAUUAUACAUGGAUAAAUAUAUACAAUUUUUAUUUGUCAAUUAAAAGCCCCUCGAUGAAUACAGUUUCCAUUCUGUCCUUGAGGUGGAGCUUGUAGACUUGGUGGGGUCCGGGGAUCAACUUUUAAACAGGCAGUUCCAAAGUGUGGAGUGGAUAGGCUUAUUCUCUUUGUUGCUUUUAUGAUAGGUAUUUAGAAUGCACUUUCCUCUGUUAAGUUAAGCCAGCCACCAUUCCCUCAUUCAGUUUCCAUCCUCCAUGAAUUUGCUCACAUCUGCGGUCUACUGUCACUCAUUCUUUCCUUCUCUUCCUGAGGGCUUGUGUGACUUAUGUUCUUGGCUUUCUCUUAGGAACAUGGUGCAGCUUGGCCCUGCAUUAUCCAUCUGGAAAAACAGAUCAUAAAACAGUCCUUCUCUGUACUAAGUGCUAAAGUAGGAGGAAGGGCAUAAGUCAGCUCCCUGAGCUAUAUAUCCUUGUUUUCAGGAGCUGAGCUAGACACAAGCAGAACUUGCAAAUAAUUUACAUUUCUUUCUGCUGAGGUGGUUCAGAAUAAGUUGCAACAAACAUGAACAGGAAUGGUGCAGUAAAU